Molecule: long non-coding RNA, 591 nt
Filed under: Mus pahari (shrew mouse)
Lineage: Eukaryota; Metazoa; Chordata; Mammalia; Rodentia; Muridae
Description: lncRNA (MGP_PahariEiJ_G0002823.1)
Source: RNAcentral
GACUGCGCCAAGCAGGGAGAGGGGUUGCAGGCAGGAGCGUGGACAGGGGAGAUUUCAGGGAGACUUCCAGCGGCCCCGCCUCUUUCGUGUAGGGAAACCUUUCCUCCUUUUGUGUGGGGAUACCUCAAACUCACUACUGAACUGAGUUCCUGACCGUCCACCCUUCACUUCCUCAUCCACCCCUGCCUCAGAAGAUGGCAGCUCCAUCUUCCAGUUGCUGAGGCUGAAAUAACUCCAUCAUCCCUCAUUCUUUUCUUAUCCUGGAGUUGGACCAAAGAUUCAUUCAGGUUAUGUGAGCUCUACCAGCUAAGGCGUCAUGGUGCUACCUGCUGUUUUCCCAGCCCAGAGAUGGGACUCCAGGCCUUAUACAUAGCAGCUCUGCCGGCACGACCUUGAGGAAGUCAGCAGACGUCUCCAAGCCUUGGUUUACAGUGGUGGAGCAGUAUGGACCGCCCAUUGGUGACCAUUACUCAAGCUAGCCACACACUCAGAGGCUGGAGCAAGCAGCCUGCCUGGGUCACUUCACCCAGUGUUCAAAGGAUCUCUCCGAGGGGAAAACCCACUUUUCAUCUCUGUCCAGCAGAAACAGAA